Molecule: non-coding RNA, 525 nt
Organism: Talpa occidentalis (Iberian mole)
Lineage: Eukaryota; Metazoa; Chordata; Mammalia; Eulipotyphla; Talpidae
Source: the annotation of a RefSeq genome assembly
AUGGCCUGGACCCCUCUCCUGCUUGUUCUCCUCUCUCACUGCACAGGAUCCUGGGCCCAGUCUGUGCUGACUCAGCCACAGUCAGUCUCUGGGAAUCUGGGCCAGAGGGUCACCAUCUCCUGCACUGGAAGCAGCUCCAACAUCGGGAAGCAUGGUUAUGUGGACUGGUAUCAACAGCUCCCAGGAACAGGCCCCAAACUCCUGAUAUAUAGUGACUUACUUAGUAGCAACAAUCGACCCUCAGGGGUCCCUGAUCGAUUUUCGGGCUCCAGGUCUGGCAGCUCAGCCACCCUGACCAUCGCUGGGCUCCAGAAUGAGGACGAGGCUGAUUAUUACUGUGCAAGUUGGGACAGCAGUCUGAGUGGUCCCACAGUGCUCCAGGCCUGUGGGGAAAGUCUGGGUAGAGGUGACCAUGUCCUGAACCUGCAGCAGAGGCAACAUUGGAAGAGCGUAUGUGUGCUGGUACCAGCAGCGCCACAGCCCCCCAGCACCAUGAUCUAUGAUGACGACGAUCAUAGACCUUAA